GAUUCGGAACGUGGACUGUAGCAAGAUAGGAAGGAGAUAAAAGUACCAUUGCCUUGCAAGGGCCAAUUUGUAAUGGAAGUCAAGUAAUUGGAUGGCACGAAAAUGAAUCAGAUGAAAAUUCUAAAAGAUUCCAUGCUGAAAUGUCAGGUUUUGCCUUCAAUAGUACGAUACUCUGGGAUCCAAAGAAGUGGCACCGUCCCACUCUUGAACCUAUCAGGCAGCUUGACUCAGUCGAGGAAAGUUUGUGGGUUAGCACAUUGAUUGAGCAGGCUGUUGAAGAUGAAAGUCAAAUGGAAGGCUUAAUGAACAACUGCUCUAGUGUUAUGGUUUGGCAUAUUGAUAUUGAAUAAUCUUAUUCCUCCUAUCCUCAGAAAUGGACUGCAAAGAACAACCUGGAUGUCAUUUUUCAUCAUCCACUUGAGUGAAGUUCUUUGUAAAGAAGUAGGGAGAAGUAAAUCUUCAUAUUUUUCACAAGUUAUGAAGGAUUCUGCAUUGCUCCAAUGGCGGCUCAGAUAUCCGAUUCAACGUGACUUAUCCCUACAAGUCAAUUAAUUAAUAGUUCAUUUUCCCCUAACAGCUUGUAUAUUAUUAUUAGAACUAGCCAGUUUGUAGUAUCCAUGGUCCAAAAUUGUGGAGCGUGUUUAAUUUUGUAGUGUCUAUGGCAGAAACCAUAGUGUUUCAAGAGGAAUUGGCCCGUUGGUACUACUACUAGCAAUCAUAAAAUUCAAACUGCUACAUUAAGAAUUAAGAUGGAUCUGUUCAUAUUCAAUCUCAUUAAAUGAAAUAGCACAUUAGUUGAAAAAUAUAAUUUGUAAGUUUAUGGACUAUUCUCAAGUCGAGACCAUUUGUGGACACUAAAAGUGUAAUUAAGCCUCAUUUCAUGUAGUAGCAGCUCAUUCUCAGCGGCCAACGGCCAUAUGGCUCCGUCCAGCAGCUGGUAUCGUCAAGGUGAACACAGACACGGCGUUGAGUGGGGACAAAUUAGCUAUAGCUUUGGCCUGGUUGCUCGUGAUAAAGAUGGUGAAAUCCUUGCAGCUCCUUCUUCCUAUCCCACGGUGGCCAUGACAACAACUAUGACAGAGGCAUUAGCUCUAAGGUGGGCGAUGAUUUUGGCUUUCCAAUUGGGUUUCAGGCGAGUCCAGUUCGAGACAGAUUCACUACAGCUUUAUCAAGCGUGGAAGAAGCGGGAGUGAGAUUCGUAUUUGGCUACUAUAGUUCAGGAUUGCUUUAGUUCUUGUCGUUAUUUUGAUUAUGUUGAACUUUCUUUCAUUUGUAGUAGGGCUGAGCAAGAUUAUCCAGCCCGACCCAAACCCGAAAAAACCGACAAAAAAAGAAGCAAUGGGUCGAGUCGGGCUGGGUAGACAGUUAAGGCGAAAUGGGAAGAUAGUUUCAGACGGGUAAUAAUGGUCGGGUACGGGUUGGAAAUUUAAAAUCCAAUUGUACCCGAACCCGACCGCUUAUUGUGUGUAUUUCAACUUUUUAGGCUUGCAGUGUUCAGUGUUAAAAAAAAAGUAGCCUUGCGGGCUGCAGCA
Lotus japonicus is the source of this 1532-nucleotide long non-coding RNA. RefSeq lists it as uncharacterized. The transcript has 2 exons. Lineage: Eukaryota; Viridiplantae; Streptophyta; Magnoliopsida; Fabales; Fabaceae. The record is from RefSeq and is a predicted model, not a curated record.